GACGAACGCUGGCGGCGUGCCUAAUACACGCAAGUAGGACGCAGUUGCGAACGGGUGAGUAACGCGUAGGUAACUACCUAUUAGAGGGGGAUAACUAUUGGAAACGAUCGCUAAUACCGCAUACUAGUAGAUGGACCUGCGUUGUAUUCGCUCGGAGGUAGGGUAAUGGCCUACCUAGGCAACGAGACCUAGACGAACUGAGAGGGUGAUGGGCCAAACUGGGACUGAGACACGGCCCAGACGCCGACGGGAGGCAGCAGUAGGGAAUCUUCGGCAGUGGGGGGAAGCCUGACCGAGCGACGCCGCGUGAGUGAAGAAGGUUUUAGGAUCGUAAAGCUCUGUUGUUAAGGAAGCGGUACUUAAACAGAAAGGGACGGGUAACUACGUGCCAGCGACCGAGGUAAUAC
Molecule: ribosomal RNA, 407 nt
Filed under: uncultured bacterium
Lineage: Bacteria
Description: partial 16S ribosomal RNA
Rfam family: Bacterial small subunit ribosomal RNA
Source: RNAcentral